Molecule: transfer RNA, 68 nt
Filed under: Anadara cornea
Lineage: Eukaryota; Metazoa; Mollusca; Bivalvia; Arcoida; Arcidae
Description: tRNA-Leu
Source: RNAcentral
UGCUAGGGUGGCAGAUUUAUGCAUUAGACUUAAGCUCUAAAGAUGAGGAAAUUUCUCCUUUCCUGGUU